CCCCACCCUUUGCUCCGCUCCCAGUUGCAGGAGCAGCUGCAGCGCCUCCUGCUGGUGAACGCUGAGCUGCGGCACAAGCUGGCGGCCGUGCAGACCCAGCUGCGCGCCGCGCAGGACCGCGAGAGGGAGCGCCAGCAGCCUGGCGAAGCCGCAACUCCGCAGGCUAAAGAGCGAGCGCGGGAGCAGGCCGGGCGGCCCGGGCACCAGCACGGACAGGAGCCCGAAUGGGCGACCGCCGGUGCAGGCGCCCCAGGGAACCCUGAGGACUCGGUGGAGGCUGCGCAGCAGCUGGGGUGCCCCUCGGAGGCAGGGCAGUGCCGCUUCAGUCGGGAGGAGUUUGAGCAGAUCCUUCAGGAGCGGAAUGAACUCAAAGCCAAAGUGUUCCUGCUCAAGGAGGAGCUGGCCUACUUCCAGCGGGAGCUGCUCACAGACCACCGGGUCCCCGGCCUUCUGCUCGAGGCCAUGAAGGUGGCUGUCCGGAAGCAGCGGAAGAAGAUCAAGGCCAAGAUGUUAGGGACACCAGAGGAGGCAGAGAGCAGCUUUGGCCUGUGGUAUCGGGGUAAAGCUGAAUCCUCUGAGGAUGAGACCAGCAGCCCUGCACCCAGCAAGCUAGGGGGAGAAGAGGCCCAACCACAGUCUCCAGCUCCUGAUCCGCC
RNAcentral lists this small RNA (656 nucleotides) under Pongo abelii (Sumatran orangutan). Its description in RNAcentral is "retained intron". The record is from RNAcentral. Lineage: Eukaryota; Metazoa; Chordata; Mammalia; Primates; Hominidae.